AUUUACUCAACUAACCAUUGUAUUUUUAAUCUUUGUGUUCAGUUGCAGCAAAGAUGUUUUAUUCACUGAAGGCAGAAGACGGAAUCAUAAAAUCAUCCAGGCCUAUUUUUAAAGCUGGCCCUACAGAUAAAACUGAUUUUCUCCUUGGGUGGAUGAAUUAUGGCGGGUUUCUGUCUUGGCUAUCCCUGUGGAUGGUAUGUCAUGCAGAGACAGGGAACACAGGAGAUGAAAUUUACGGGCUGGAGCAAAAUAAUGAGCUCGUUUCUGGAUACUGGCUUCAGUGCUUGUGAAGACAUCUGGCCACAAAGCUGGUAUUGCCUUUGACUUAAAAAAACAUACACAACCUAGCUGGGACACAAUACAUGUUGACUAAAUGAAAAAAUGCUCAUUCAAUAAAUCAUUAAUUCAUCCAG
Gorilla gorilla gorilla (western lowland gorilla) is the source of this 413-nucleotide long non-coding RNA. RefSeq lists it as uncharacterized. The transcript is spliced from 2 exons. The record is from RefSeq and is a predicted model, not a curated record. NCBI's taxonomy places the organism in Eukaryota, Metazoa, Chordata, Mammalia, Primates, Hominidae.